UACGUAGGGGGCAAGCGUUGUCCGGAUUUAUUGGGCGUAAAGAGCGUGUAGGCGGUUUGGUAGGUCCGUUGUGAAAGCCCGAGGCUUAACCUCGGAAUUGCACCUAAAACUACAUGGCUAGAGUACUGGAGAGGGUAACGGAAUUCACGGUGUAGCAGUGAAAUGCGCAGAUAUCAGGAGGAACACCGGUGGCGAAGGCGGUUCUCUGGGCCUGUACUGACGCUGAGGAGCGAAAGCGUGGGGAGCGAACAGG
RNAcentral lists this ribosomal RNA (253 nucleotides) under uncultured bacterium. Its description in RNAcentral is "partial 16S ribosomal RNA". It matches the Rfam family "Bacterial small subunit ribosomal RNA", at positions 524 to 776 of the family's 1533-position model. The record is from RNAcentral.